AAACCGUGAUUAGGGCAGUCGCUAGUGUACUCCUUGAAACGUUCAAAUGCUUUAAAGAAUGACUUUCUCGCUCCUAGCUUGAAACUCGAGAUUUUAUUCCUCAU
Arabis alpina (gray rockcress) is the source of this 104-nucleotide non-coding RNA. Lineage: Eukaryota; Viridiplantae; Streptophyta; Magnoliopsida; Brassicales; Brassicaceae. The record is from Rfam.